RNAcentral lists this ribosomal RNA (253 nucleotides) under uncultured bacterium. RNAcentral describes it as "partial 16S ribosomal RNA". It matches the Rfam family "Bacterial small subunit ribosomal RNA", at positions 524 to 776 of the family's 1533-position model. The record is from RNAcentral.
UACGUAGGGGGCAAGCGUUGUCCGGACUUACUGGGCGUAAAGCGUGCGCAGGCGGUUUUGUAAGCCAGAUGUGAAAUCCCCGGGCUUAACCUGGGAAUGGCAUUUGGGACUGCAAGGCUUGAGUGCGGCAGAGGAGACUGGAAUUCCUGGUGUAGCAGUGAAAUGCGUAGAUAUCAGGAGGAAUACCGAUGGCGAAGGCAGGUCUCUGGGCUGACACUGACGCUCAUGCACGAAAGCGUGGGGAGCAAACAGG